AUGGGGUUUAUGGUUCCCCUUUUCCAGUCAGUGGGAACUUCACUGGACUGCCAUGACUUCUCAAAUAUCAUGGACUGUGGCUCAGCAAUUUCAUCUGCCAGUUAAUGAAAGUGCAGUUUCCCUCUGUAAGCAGAUGGGAGCCCCCUUCUCACAGCACCGGCUUAAUUUUAGCUCUGGACAGCACAAGAAGGAAGCUGGGAGCACAGUCUCAAAAGUCUUGCUACUCUAACACAGAUGUUGGCAAGUAUGGUGAACUUCAUUUGGAGACCUUAAGAUUGAGAAGGUCUAUGCUUUGGAGGAAGGUAGAAGUUAUGCCUCUCCCCUAUUCUGGAGAGAGCAGAGUUUGUUCAGGGUCGUGCCCUGAUUUUUGUUACUCCUGCAGUUCAUCCCAACACUCUGGGCAAGAAUGAUGCAGUUGGAAGAUCACAGGUAUCACACGGGCACAACCACUGACUACCACAGCCAAUGCAUAAUUAGCGUCAUUGCCACCCAGUAGAUAACUGUGGCACUGAGAAUCACGGAGCACCUUAAAUGCCAAGUAAAUUCAGAGAGAUGCAGGGAUUUUCAGGGUACUAUGGAAAUGAGAACUCAAGAGAAACAGCAGCACCCAGGCUAGAAAGCUGUAUUACAAAAUGCUAGUCUCUGUGUGCCUUCACCACACUGGAAGUCUCCUGAUCUUCCCACUUUCUGGAGACAGGACACCAGCUCGUUCCAGUGCCAGCCCUGGGUGGACUGGACUUGGGCUUCCCAUACAGGUUCCCACUGCACACUCUGUCACACACCAGCGCCUGCUGCCUUUCCCAGCACUCCACGUUGCAAAACUCCUCAUGUGGCAACCGUGUCAGCAGGAGGUUAAUCAAAAAAACACACAGUUACCAAACACAUGUUUCAUGAAUCUGCUUAAUUACAGACUGAGUAGGACUGAGGAGGGUACGCCUAAAAUCCGACCUCCCAAAGCUGUCUGGCAGGCAGGACACUGGGCAGCCUGUCUCUGCCCGCACUCACAUCUGUGCUUGGCUCCCACCAGAAGGCAGGGAACUGCAGUCUGCUGAACUCCCACUCCUGGAGAGAAGGAAAGCUUUAAUAUCUAGCUUGCUUGGAGCUGAGCAGGAAGCCUCAGAAGUGAGAGGACAAGACAAAUGUGUUUGAAGAUGCAAUAAAAUGUGAGCACAGUGGAUUUUUCUGGUGAUGAAUGAGAUUCAUAACAAACAAGCAAGAUUUUAGCAUGCAUCACCUCAUAGGGUUCUUCCUUUCCUGUCAUUUUAACAGAAGGUUGUCAAGUUCUACAAUCAAAAUCUAGUAAGAAGAAAAACCUUAAUGCCAGAUUCAUGAGUGAAUCUCAGUCAUGCAGCAAAAUGAGCUGGAACAUAACAGUAGAUUUAGUCCAGAUUCUUCAGUACUGAUGACUGAGGUACAACCAAAUCAUCCACCUGAGGCUGUGGUUGUGCAACCAUUAAUCCUGAAUCUGCGUACUAUUCCAUCAGCCAAUCGUGAUGAUUUUGUGAACAUCACGCACAGGCUCCUAAGACCACUUCUGCCAAGGUAAUCAGACCACAUGAUGUCUUUUCAACACGCUAUCUGCAGGACAACAGAUGAAACCUGACACAACACAGUCAGAGUGGCGUGGACACGUUUGAGCAACAUGCUUUUUGACAGAUGAGUUACUAACUAAACCUGUCAAUGUCUUUUUUUUGUUGUUUUUUUUUAAUAAACUGGAGUUAGCAGACAAAGUUUA
Long non-coding RNA from Cygnus olor (mute swan), 1735 nucleotides. RefSeq lists it as uncharacterized. Lineage: Eukaryota; Metazoa; Chordata; Aves; Anseriformes; Anatidae. The transcript has 2 exons. The record is from RefSeq and is a predicted model, not a curated record.